UGGCCACAGUCUUCACUAUUUUAAUCCCCCACAAGUUUCUAAAGCUGUAUAAAAUCACCAAAUAGUAAGAAGAAUGAAUAUGGAGAUGUAUCAUGGUACUGAAGGGUUUAAGGAAAGAUGUGUCUAAUAGCAGUGAAAAGGAUAACAUGUUUUCAGUAUUGCCACUUGCAUACUUGUUGAAGGGGGAGUUAGCCCUGUGCACUUGCUUGGCCUUUGUCACAGAGAUCUUGCCGACAGAUUAAGUCAAGAAUAGAAUGUCAAGGUGUGCUUAUCUGUAUAGUACAAAAACCUGAAUGCUGAUGAAGGUUCUCGGUGUGUAUGGUGGAGAUACAGGGAAAGCCAAGGGUGUCACUCAGUCAUGUGCAUGGAGUUGUAUUGAACCAACACCUCCUUAUACUGAUGGCUUGACAGUUCCUGGUGAUGGCUGCACCAUUGCACUGUGGCUCAGGAGGGUUGGUACACAGGUACUACAUGCCUGCUGCACUGCAAGGUGCAGAACAUCCUGCCAGUUCACCACCACAUCCUUCUCUUUGUUCAUCAUUCACUGCAAGGCAUUGAUUGUGCUCAUUGUUCCUUUGCAUCCUUCACCUUUGUUCUUAAGAAUAUUUUCCAUAGAAGCAAAUUAACGACAAGCCGACAAGCAAGGACCAGAAAGGUUGUGGUGCUGCUGCCACCAGUGUGACUGGUGCACUAGUGUGUGACUAGUGCAUAGGUGUGUGAGGGAGGAGGCUGCACCAUGCUGACUGGCCACACAAGCAGGGUGAGGACCAGGACAAGGAAAUUCAGCAGAUGACUGGCAGACUGGCAUCAUCAUCAUCAUUAUUACUGGCAUGGGGUCAUCAGGAGCAGCAUCCACACCUGUAGUACUGUCAUCAGUCAGCCAGCCUUAAUCAGUGUGCUCUCAUCUAACCUACCAGUAGAUGGCCAUGCGCUGAAAGGAGUUAUGAAGUGCUCGCCGCAGACCGUAACAUACUCCAGGGUUCAGAAAAAAUACCUUAAACACACGACAUACAUACUGGAUGCUCAAUGAGCCACAGGAUGUCCCCCCACAGUAUGUUUACAAACCACAGUCACUCACCACAGCCUCUCAGGGAAUACUGCCUCCCCUAUCCUUACUUUGAACACUUCUCUCACAAUAUGAUGGUUCUAUUUACAUGGUGAUCAAU
RNAcentral lists this unclassified non-coding RNA (1166 nucleotides) under Portunus trituberculatus (swimming crab). RNAcentral's name for it is "uncharacterized LOC123512681, transcript variant X3". The record is from RNAcentral. Lineage: Eukaryota; Metazoa; Arthropoda; Malacostraca; Decapoda; Portunidae.